RNAcentral lists this ribosomal RNA (362 nucleotides) under uncultured marine eukaryote. Its description in RNAcentral is "SSU rRNA". It matches the Rfam family "Eukaryotic small subunit ribosomal RNA", at positions 612 to 978 of the family's 1831-position model. The record is from RNAcentral.
GUUGCGGUUAAAAAGCUCGUAGUUGGAUUUCUGUUGAGGAUGGCCGGUCCGUACUUUGUGCGUGUAUCUGGUUCAGCCUUGGCAUCCUCUUGGGGAACGUUUCUGUGUUUCAUUACAUGGGGCGGUAUUCAAGACUUUUACUUUGAGGAAAUUAGAGUGUUCACGGCAGGCAUUCGCCUUGAAUACAUUAGCAUGGAAUAAUAAUAUAGGACCUUGGUACUAUUUUGUUGGUUUCUAGAACUAAGGUAAUGAUUAAUAGGGAUAAUUGGGGGCAUUCGUAUUAACGCGUCAGAGGUGGAAUUCUUGGAUUGCGUUACGACGAACUACUGCGAAAGCAUUUGCCAAGGAUGUUUUCAUUGAUC